AUUGAACGCUGGCGGCAGGCCUAACACAUGCAAGUCGAGCGGCUGCAGGGAGCUUGCCACUUGGUUCAGCGGCGGAAGGGUGAGUAAUGUAUAGGAAAAUGCGUGGUGGUGGGGGGUAAAGUCCGGCAACGGGCGGUAAUAUCGCACAUGUGCUGAGGGAGAAAGAGGGGGGUAUUUGGACGUCACGCUCUAAGAUGUGGCUAGGUCGGAUUAGCUAGUUGGUGGGGUAAAGGCCUACCAAGGCGACGAUCCGUAGCUGGUCUGAGAGGAUGAUCAGUCACACUGGAACUGAGACACGGUCCAGACUCCUACGGGAGGCAGCAGUGGGGAAUUUUGGACAAUGGGCGAAAGCCUGAUCCAGCCAUGCCGCGUGUGUGAAGAAGGUCUUCGGAUUGUAAAGCACUUUUAGUUGGGAGGAAGGGCAUUAAGUUAAUACCUUGCGGGUUUGACGUUACCAACAGAAUAAGCACCGGCUAACUUCGUG
RNAcentral lists this ribosomal RNA (484 nucleotides) under uncultured bacterium. RNAcentral's name for it is "partial 16S ribosomal RNA". It matches the Rfam family "Bacterial small subunit ribosomal RNA", at positions 30 to 507 of the family's 1533-position model. The record is from RNAcentral.